Phrynosoma platyrhinos (Desert horned lizard) is the source of this 72-nucleotide non-coding RNA. Lineage: Eukaryota; Metazoa; Chordata; Lepidosauria; Squamata; Phrynosomatidae. The record is from the annotation of a GenBank genome assembly.
GGAAGCUUGGCACAGUGGUUUGAGCGUGGGACCAUGACUCUGGAGACCAGGGUUCGAUUCCCCGCUCAGCCA